UACGGAGGGUGCAAGCGUUAUCCGGAUUCACUGGGUUUAAAGGGUGCGUAGGUGGGUCUGUAAGUCAGUGGUGAAAUCUCCGAGCUUAACUCGGAAACUGCCAUUGAUACUAUAGGUCUUGAAUUAUCUGGAGGUAAGCGGAAUAUGUCAUGUAGCGGUGAAAUGCUUAGAUAUGACAUAGAACACCAAUUGCGAAGGCAGCUUACUACGGAUUGAUUGACACUGAGGCACGAAAGCGUGGGGAUCAAACAGG
Molecule: ribosomal RNA, 253 nt
Filed under: uncultured bacterium
Lineage: Bacteria
Description: partial 16S ribosomal RNA
Rfam family: Bacterial small subunit ribosomal RNA
Source: RNAcentral